Long non-coding RNA from Bombus pascuorum, 904 nucleotides. RefSeq lists it as uncharacterized. The record is from RefSeq and is a predicted model, not a curated record. The transcript is spliced from 2 exons. Lineage: Eukaryota; Metazoa; Arthropoda; Insecta; Hymenoptera; Apidae.
UAUUGAUUAUAUUUUUAUUAAUUCUUAUUAAGUGUUUGAUGAUCGUCCUUGAUAAAGAUCAGUUAUAUAAGAGAGAAUAAUUAUUAUAUGCCAUUGUACUAGUAUACAUACUUUAAAGUCAAUAGGUUUUCGCCUCGCCACGUGACUUUUGAUCCCCUUGAAUUUUCGGUUAACAAUCCGAAAGCGAAAGAUAAUGUUUGUAUUCGAUAGUCGUACUCAGCAAACAGCGCGAAUCGCGCCUUUUUUACUGCUGGACAACAGCAAAAAAGAAAAAGACACUGUGCGACAGCUCCGCUUUCAAUUCGGUAGUGCGGAGCGUCAACUUAAUUAUACGGUCGCGCGAGCAAAAGAAAAGGGAUUUUAAAUGAAAUUAAAUCGCGUAUCAGCGUAAAGAACUCACAGAAACGUUCGUGGCGCGUAAAUCGCGUUGCUUUAUCUUUGGAUGAAAGAUAUUAUGCAGGGAACUGGUUUUAUCAACAAUUCAACAUCAGUUGGCGUUAAGCAAUGCUCGAGACGGUCAUGCGUGAAACAUGAAUUAACGGACGUACGAUUGUACGCGUGAUAAUAAUUGCGAGCCGUUAACCAAUCACAGAAUCGUUUAAAUUGCAUUUCAGCAACAAGAAGGGUUAUCUAUUUUUUACAAAUUUUAUUGAAAAAAACUAGUGUUGUUUUUUGUUUAAUUAUUUAUAAAUAAUUAAUCAAAUUCUUGUCAUUCUUCGUUUAUUCAUUUGUGGUUUUAAUAAUUUUCAGAUACUAUGUCCUUGAUGAAUGUCUGCCAUUUUCCUUCCCAGAUAUGUAUCGCUUUCUGUAUCUCAGAGUCAUGCAGAGUACUAUAGACAAGUGAGUUCCAUGCCAAUUGUUUGAGGCUUCUGAGAUCAGCGUGCAUCGACAUGAGUGCCAUAAA